This 74-nucleotide transfer RNA is filed under the name Actinomycetes bacterium. Its description in RNAcentral is "Actinobacteria bacterium tRNA-Gly". It matches the Rfam family "tRNA". From Rfam's summary of the family: Transfer RNA (tRNA) molecules are approximately 80 nucleotides in length. Their secondary structure includes four short double-helical elements and three loops (D, anti-codon, and T loops). Further hydrogen bonds mediate the characteristic L-shaped molecular structure. tRNAs have two regions of fundamental functional importance: the anti-codon, which is responsible for specific mRNA codon recognition, and the 3' end, to which the tRNAs corresponding amino acid is attached (by aminoacyl-tRNA synthetases). tRNAs cope with the degeneracy of the genetic code in two manners: having more than one tRNA (with a specific anti-codon) for a particular amino acid; and 'wobble' base-pairing, i.e. permitting non-standard base-pairing at the 3rd anti-codon position. Lineage: Bacteria; Bacillati; Actinomycetota; Actinomycetes. The record is from RNAcentral. RNAcentral also lists the same sequence under 1 other name.
GCGGGCGUAGCUCAGUGGUAGAGCCUUGGCCUUCCAAGCCGAGUGUUGCGCGGGUUCGAUCCCCGCCGCCCGCU